RNAcentral lists this ribosomal RNA (253 nucleotides) under uncultured bacterium. RNAcentral describes it as "partial 16S ribosomal RNA". It matches the Rfam family "Bacterial small subunit ribosomal RNA", at positions 524 to 776 of the family's 1533-position model. The record is from RNAcentral.
UACGGAGGGGACUAGCGUUGUUCGGAAUUACUGGGCGUAAAGCGCACGUAGGCGGAUUUGUAAGUCAGGGGUGAAAUCCCGGGGCUCAACCUCGGAACUGCCUUUGAUACUGCAAAUCUCGAGUCCGGAAGAGGUGAGUGGAAUUCCUAGUGUAGAGGUGAAAUUCGUAGAUAUUAGGAAGAACACCAGUGGCGAAGGCGGCUCACUGGUCCGGUACUGACGCUGAGGUGCGAAGGCGUGGGGAGCAAACAGG